This is a long non-coding RNA of Juglans regia (Persian walnut), 1110 nucleotides long. RefSeq lists it as uncharacterized. The transcript is spliced from 3 exons. NCBI's taxonomy places the organism in Eukaryota, Viridiplantae, Streptophyta, Magnoliopsida, Fagales, Juglandaceae. The record is from RefSeq and is a predicted model, not a curated record.
AUAGUCUCUCUCUUUAUCCUGCUCCGUCCGCCUCCCUCUCUCUCUCUUCGUAAGUCUCACCCAUCACCCUAAUCUCCUUCCAAUGUUUGGAGCUAAUUACGAUUUCAUGUUCUAUUUUACUUUCCAAUAGGGAUUCUCUCACACAUUAAUCUAAGCUCAUUUAUGCCCUAGUUUUUUCCCUUUUCACUCUUCAUCAUCUCUCAAAUCACAAAGACCCAAUAUUGUAGCUGGGGAUGAUGAACGGUUUCAAUUGAUACCAAAUCCACUUUCUAAUCUGGACUAGAUUUAUUCUUCUACUAGCAGCGCCCAUUGAAGUCUACAACUGUUCUAACUAGGCCCGACUCUUUCAAGGAAUCACUUUCUAAAGCCCAACAUCUUGGUUCUUUUCUUGGGAGGUCCGACCAUAUGGAUAGCCCAGCUGGGUGUACAAGUCCUAGCGGCCAUAAUGAUAAGGCUAAGGAAACAGGCGAAACUCAACUAUAAAGUGGAACAGUGGCCACUCGACUGACUAUCAUGAACGAAAGUGAGGGAAGGAGUUCCGAUUGGAUCCCUUAGGAGAGAGACGGGUGCCAUCUUAGAUUCCUCUUCCCACCAUAUGAUUCUUGUACAUGAUCUAGUGAUUCAAUUGUGCUAUUCUGUUACAGUCUCCAGCACUAUUGAGGAGUGAAGAUUAGUAUCGACAGUUGUUUUGUCUUCCACCUGAUGAAGAGGAGGUCUUUGGUGUGGGGUGCGUUGGUGGAAUUAUGAACAAGAUAAAUUAUUGAUCUUUAUAGCAUCAUUGGCGCGUAUGUAUUUUGACUAAGAUGGCCCCCAUUGGUUUUGUUGGCACUAAUCCCAAAUGCUUACUUGGUUUUAACAAGGCAUUAGCCUCUCUAUGCACAAACAUUUGUUGGACUGUUAUAUGUACUUUCCCUUGCUAAGUCUUAUUUUUGCGGAAGUGGAUUUGCAUGUGUAGAUGUGAGUCUAUGAUUCUUUCUAUGUAUAGUCAAAUGGUUCUUGUGGUUUUGUGUUUUAAAAUACUUUAGUUAUUAGCUGAAAUUGAGAUUGAGUUGGAUUGAGUUGAACUCAUUUAAUUUGUAGUUUUAAAGGAACUCAUACUAUUAUUUUUUA